This 229-nucleotide long non-coding RNA is filed under the name Nicotiana benthamiana. Its description in RNAcentral is "long non-coding RNA (NBEN_LNC021447)". Lineage: Eukaryota; Viridiplantae; Streptophyta; Magnoliopsida; Solanales; Solanaceae. The record is from RNAcentral.
ACGAUCUCCAGUAUACCUAUGCACAAGUAAUUUCCCACAAGAUUUACACUUAGCCUUAUUUUGUUCUCUUAGUUGAAUAAACAAUUGCCAAACUAAUGAAGUUUCUGAACGUUUAGGAGGUUGUCUACUAAAAGUGGAAGUUUGUACGGGUGGGUGUUCCGGUUCAUUAGUAGCAGGACUAGUAGGUGUAUCAUCUACAUCUACUGGAGCUUGGGUUUCGUCAUCAUCA